AGAUACCUCAGCGCUACCUGGCGGAACUGGAUUUCUCUCCCGCCUGCCGGCCUGCCUGCCACAGCCGGACUCCGCCACUCCGACCAGGGCAGCCCCUUUGCCCAGGAGCUGCUGGACGACGGUCAGCAAGCCAGCCCCUACCACCCCGGCAGCUGUGGCGCAGGAGCCCCCUCCCCUGGCAGCUCUGACGUCUCCACCGCAGAUGGUUUUCGUGACUGCAAGAAGGGGGAUCCCAAGCACGGGAAGCGGAAACGAGGCCGGCCCCGAAAGCUGAGCAAAGAGUACUGGGACUGUCUCGAGGGCAAGAAGAGCAAGCACGCGCCCAGAGGCACCCACCUGUGGGAGUUCAUCCGGGACAUCCUCAUCCACCCGGAGCUCAACGAGGGCCUCAUGAAGUGGGAGAAUCGGCAUGAAGGCGUCUUCAAGUUCCUGCGCUCCGAGGCUGUGGCCCAACUAUGGGGCCAAAAGAAAAAGAACAGCAACAUGACCUACGAGAAGCUGAGCCGGGCCAUGAGGUACUACUACAAACGGGAGAUCCUGGAACGGGUGGAUGGCCGGCGACUCGUCUACAAGUUUGGCAAAAACUCAAGCGGCUGGAAGGAGGAAGAGGUUCUCCAGAGUCGGAACUGAGGGUUGGAACUAUACCCGGGACCAAACUCACGGACCACUCGAGGCCUGCAAACCUUCCUGGGAGGACAGGCAGGCCAGAUGGCCCCUCCACUGGGGAAUGCUCCCAGCUGUGCUGUGGAGAGAAGCUGAUGUUUUGGUGUAUUGUCAGCCAUCGUCCUGGGACUCGGAGACUAUGGCCUCGCCUCCCCACCCUCCUCUUGGAAUUACAAGCCCUGGGGUUUGAAGCUGACUUUAUAGCUGCAAGUGUAUCUCCUUUUAUCUGGUGCCUCCUCAAACCCAGUCUCAGACACUAAAUGCAGACAACACCUUCCUCCUGCAGACACCUGGACUGAGCCAAGGAGGCCUGGGGAGGCCCUAGGGGAGCACCGUGAUGGAGAGGACAGAGCAGGGGCUCCAGCACCUUCUUUCUGGACUGGCGUUCACCUCCCUGCUCAGUGCUUGGGCUCCACGGGCAGGGGUCAGAGCACUCCCUAAUUUAUGUGCUAUAUAAAUAUGUCAGAUGUACAUAGAGAUCUAUUUUUUCUAAAACAUUCCCCUCCCCACUCCUCUCCCACAGAGUGCUGGACUGUUCCAGGCCCUCCAGUGGGCUGAUGCUGGGACCCUUAGGAUGGGGCUCCCAGCUCCUUUCUCCUGUGAAUGGAGGCAGAGACCUCCAAUAAAGUGCCUUCUGGGCUUUUUCUAACCUUUGUCUUAGCUACCUGUGUACUGAAAUUUGGGCCUUUGGAUCGAAUAUGGUCAAGAGGUUGGAGGGGAGGAAAAUGAAGGUCUACCAGGCUGAGGGUGAGGGCAAAGGCUGACGAAGAGGGGAGUUACAGAUUUCCUGUAGCAGGUGUGGGCUUACAGACACAUGGACUGGGCUGGGAGGCGAGCAAAGGAAGCAGCUGAGACUGUUGGAGAACGCUUACAAGACUUCAUGCAAGCAAGGACAUGAACUCAGAACACUGAGGUCAGAAGCAUCCUGCUGUCAUGACACCGCUCGAGUGACCUUGACCUUGACCAAGUCUGUCCUGUUUAGGACUGAUUUUUCCUAUUAGGCUAGGGUUUGGACCUGAUGUUCUCAAGAUGUCUAGAAUUGCAUGGCUGGCCUUGUGGAAUAGAUGGUUUUGCAUUCCAGCCAAGUGUGCUGUAAACUGUAUAUCUGUAAUAUGAAUCCCAGCUUUUGAGUCUGACAAAAUCAGAGUUAGGAUCUUGUAAAGGAAAAAAAAAAAAAAACAAAACAAAAUGGAGAUGAGUACUUGCUGAGAAAGAAUGAGGGAAGGAGUUGGCAUUUGUUGAAAGUGUAGUCUUUUUCUCUUUUUUUUUUAAUUGCAACUUUUACUUUAGAUUUAGGAGGUCGUGCGCAGGUUUGUUACAUGGGUAUAUUGUGUGAUGCUGAGCUUGGGAUGCGAAUGAUCCUGUCACCCAGGUAGUGAGUAUAGCACCCAGUGAAACUGUAGUCUCAUGCCAGGCACUGUGCUAGCCCACUCUGGCUCAUUUAAUCCUCUCCUAAGAAGAGAGGAGACACAGCGUCCCCAUUUGACAGAUGCAGAAAGAGGUUCCACAGGUGUGCCUUGAUUCUGUCCUAAAACCGUUUCCCGGAAGCUUUUCCUGGUGUGGGCGCUUCUAACCUAAUCCUCAAUCGAUUCCAGAACUAUUACUCUGUUUCCACAGUGAUACUGUGUCUAGGUUUUAGGGAGGACAGUUCAUUGAUGUUACUUAAGAAUGCUUUCCAGGUGGAAAGUUCCUUAAGUUUGAGGCUUCAAAUUCCAUACAGCACAUUAAAAUCCCAUUCAUGAGUUUGAAAUACUGCUCUGUUGUCUUGGAAAUACCAAUCAGAUUGUUGGCUGAAGUGAUGUGGAUAAAGAAGGGAUCUUAGAAAAA
Molecule: unclassified non-coding RNA, 2490 nt
Filed under: Homo sapiens (human)
Lineage: Eukaryota; Metazoa; Chordata; Mammalia; Primates; Hominidae
Description: E74-like ETS transcription factor 3 transcript variant 25
Source: RNAcentral